This 497-nucleotide ribosomal RNA is filed under the name uncultured bacterium. Its description in RNAcentral is "partial 16S ribosomal RNA". It matches the Rfam family "Bacterial small subunit ribosomal RNA", at positions 28 to 507 of the family's 1533-position model. The record is from RNAcentral.
GAUGAACGCUGGCGGCGUGCCUAAUACAUGCAAGUCGAGCGAACAGAUGAGGAGCUUGCUCCUCUGACGUUAGCGGCGGACGGGGGAGUAACACGUGGAUAACCUACCUAUCAGACUGGGAUAACUUCGGGAAACCGGAGCUAAUACCGGAUAAUAUAUUUAACCGCAUGGUUCAAUAGUGAAAGACGGUUUUGCUGUCACUUAUACAUGGAUCCGCGCCGCAUUAGCUAGUUGGUAAGGUAACGGCUUACCAAGGCAACGAUGCGUAGCCGACCUGAGAGCGUGAUCGGGCACACGGUAACAGAGACACGGUCCAGACACCUACAGGAGGCAGCGGUAGGGAAUCUUCCGGAAGGGGCGAAAGCGUGACGGAGCAACGCCGGGUGAGUGAUGAAGGUCUUCGGAUCGUAGAACUCUGUUGUUAGGAAAGAACAAAUGUGUAAGUAACUAUGCACGUCUUGACGGUACCUAAACAGAAAGCCACGGCUAACUACGUG